AUUGAACGCUGGCGGCAGGCCUAACACAUGCAAGUCGAACGGUAACAGGAAGAAGCUUGCUUCUUUGCUGACGAGUGGCGGACGGGUGAGUAAUGUCUGGGAAACUGCCUGAUGGAGGGGGAUAACUACUGGAAACGGUAGCUAAUACCGCAUAACGUCGCAAGACCAAGGAGGGGGACCUUCGGGCCUCUUGCCAUCGGAUGUGCCCAGAUGGGAUUAGCUAGUAGGUGGGGUAACGGCUCACCUAGGCGACGAUCCCUAGCUGGUCUGAGAGGAUGACCAGCCACACUGGAACUGAGACACGGUCCAGACUCCUACGGGAGGCAGCAGUGGGGAAUAUUGCACAAUGGGCGCAAGCCUGGUGCAGCCAUGCCGCGUGUAUGAAGAAGGCCUUCGGGUUGUAAAGUACUUUCAGCGGGGAGGAAGGGAGUAAAGUUAAUACCUUUGCUCAUUGACGUUACCCGCAGAAGAAGCACCGGCUAACUCCGUG
RNAcentral lists this ribosomal RNA (490 nucleotides) under uncultured bacterium. RNAcentral's name for it is "partial 16S ribosomal RNA". It matches the Rfam family "Bacterial small subunit ribosomal RNA", at positions 30 to 507 of the family's 1533-position model. The record is from RNAcentral.